RNAcentral lists this non-coding RNA (23 nucleotides) under Arabidopsis thaliana (thale cress). Lineage: Eukaryota; Viridiplantae; Streptophyta; Magnoliopsida; Brassicales; Brassicaceae. The record is from RNAcentral.
CUCGACAAAGUGAAGGGUUUGGU